GAAUAUUAGUAUAUAUAUAAUUUAUACUAACCUAAGAGAUUAAUUUUUUAUCUCAAUUUUUUAUUUAUUUUAAACCUAAUUAAAGCAAGUCUAAUUGGGUUAUAAAAUUAGAUGAACUUGAGUAAGUAUUUAAUUCCAAAAGAGUGGGGAUAGAAACCCUAAAUAAAUAAUUAGGGUAAGAUAAAUUAAAAGUAUUGGAUUAUGUUAUUUUUAUGGUCCAAACAAUUAAUUAGGAAGCCCAAAGGAAUUAAGUUGAUAGACCAAUCUUUAGCCUAAUUAUUAAGGGACAUUUUGAACAUUUGAUUAAUCAAAUUUGGCAUUAGAAUAAAGCAAAAAUAGGGUAAAAGGGGGGUAAUAACCAACCCCUUAUGGCUUGUGAUGUGAUAAUUUAAUUGCCUUAUUUGUUAACUAAUCACCUUAUCUCUAAGUUACUUGCACAAAGGACUAAGGUGUCACUCUCUCAUUGGUCUAAUCCAAAAUCUUAAUUAGGAUUGCAUGUAAUCUAAAAAGAUAAAUAUCUAGCGUAUAUAAGAAGUAUUGGGAUAAAAAUAUAGAUAUAGGUUGUAUAUCAAUACUUUUAUACUAAUACACUAAUUUUUCAUUUCAUUCAUUUCUCCUUCAUUUCACUUCCUAACAAAGCAAAAGAAGAGAGAAAGGGAGAGAGAGAGACAGAGGGUUGGAUGAGGAGAAAAGGGGGAGAGAGCUUCAUCAUUUAUGCAUCUUUAGUUCCUUAGAUACUUGGGUAAAUCAAGGAAGGUCGCUAGAAGAUCAAGGUGAGAUUUUAAACUACAUUUUCUUUCUAUUUUGGUUUAUUAGGGUAAUGUUCUAAGACUCAAAAAUUCUUAGAUCUACAUGUCUCAUGUAAGGAUCUAACCAUUUUGAGUGUUAGAAUGAAGAUCUAAAGGAAGAAAAUGAACUUGUGUUCCUAAAGGGUGAAAAUCCAUGCUUUUCUUCACUUGGAUCAUGUGUAACUUUAGAUCUACACCUCCUUUUUGUGAUCCGUCAAAGAAGGGUGUUAGAUAUGCAAGUUAACUAGUAAACCCAAGUGGUAACACUAAAAAAUAAUGGUUUUUCAAGAUUUAAGAGCUUUUGGAGCCAAAACAGUCCAUGGAGAACUAAAGGUAAAGUGGACAUCUUCUGGCCACUUGCUAACAAGGGCAUUUUCGUCCAUUUUCUGUACUCUAAAAAUUCUGAAAAACUUUGAGAAGAUACUUUGAUGAGUUAUCUGUAUUUAGGAAAAAGAAUGGACAAUUUUGGAUGUGUAGAAUGGAAGUUAUGGGUUUUACAAGAAAGUACUCUUUUAAAAGUGAACAUGAAAAACUUUUUGUGCAAUUCCAAAAAUUGUAAAUUUUUUACUGGAGGUAGAGUAUCAUGGCAAACGCAUACCCUGAAAAUUUCAGAGUUUUUGGACAGAGUUUCGAUUUAUGAAAAAUGUUACAAGAUCCAUAUGUUUUGGUCAUUUCAAAAAUAGUAAAUAAAAUUCAAAAUUCUAAAAAAAUUAUAUGUUCUGCAUAAUAUCAUAUACUGAUAUUUGCCAGAAAAUAAAUAUUUUUGGAGUUGAUUUGGUUUUUUAUAUGUAAAUGAUUGAGUUAUGAAUAAAUGGGUAAAAUAAGUUAUGUGAUGUCAUAAAUGGCAAAAAUAUAAUUUUAUGGCUUGGAAACCCUAAAAAUGUGGUAUUCUGAUUUAUGGAGGGUAUUUUGAUAAUUUUCGAUGAGAUGUUAUAUUUAUGGCAUUUUAGGGUUGUUAAAUAAAGUAAUUAGUAAAGGUUAAACAAUUAGAAUAAAUUGUUUAUUAGUAUAAUAAAUGAUUAAAAUAUUAUUAAGAGAUUAAUAAUAUUAGAUUAAUAUAUUAUUAAGUAAUUAAUAAUAUUUAGAUUAAAAUUGGAUUUAAAAUAUUAUUAAAUGAUUAAUAAUAUUAGAUUAAAGUUAAAUUAAAAUAUUAUUAAAUGAUUAAUAAUAUUAGAUAAUGAUUUAAAAUAUUAUUAAAUGAUUAAUAAUAUUAGAUUAAAGUUAAAUUAAAAUAUUAUUAAAUGAUUAAUAAUAUUAGAUAAUGAUUUAAAAUAUUAUUAAAUUAUUAAUUAUAUUAGAUUAAAGUUAAGUUAAAUGAUUAAUAAUAUUAUGAGUUGGGUAAGAUGUUAUUAAAUGAUUAAUAAUACUUGUGAAUGACUAAAAUAUUAUUUAGUGGUUAAUAAUAUUGAAAAAGGAAUAAAAUUUUAGUAAGUGAUUAAUAAUGUUAAGAAAUGAUGAAAUAUUAUUUGAUUAUUUGAAUCAUAGGAUGAUAAUAUUACUAAUGAGUUAAGGUAUUAUUUGAUUAUGUGAUUAUAUGUUUAGAUAAAUUAGUAUGAAAUAAUAGUUAAGAUAUGUGAUGCUAAUUGAGCGAUCGAUCUUAUUAAUGAUAGGUCAUUCAAAAGAAAUUAAAUUAAAUUGCAUAGCAGUAGUCAACCGAUCAGACAAGCUUUCUAACUCAACUUGAGUUAUUAUUUUUCAAAGUACGAUUAGUGAAUAAUUAUUGUUGAUUAUUCACAUCCAUAUUAUUGUUAUUCGCACAUAGUGCAAUUGAUUUCCUGUUUUAUUAUUUGAACUGUGAAAUAAAUUUAAAUUUCUUUUAAUCAUGAACUGUUUAUGAACCAUGUCUCAGCUAAUUGUUUUGGCUAGACUAACAAUUGAUGAAUCGUUCUAUUAUUUGAACUAAGUUGUUAUUGAAAGAUUUAUGCCAUUUAUUUUGGCUAGAUCAAUAUUAAUAUUAUAUGUUGAAAUCAUAGCAUUUCUUUAAAAGCAAUCCAAACCAUAUUGUUGUGGUACAGACUCAUGAUGUAAGACUGAGAUGAACAACCCUUAUAAAAAGGGGAACUUUAUUGUCAGGCAUCCGACUCUUGCGCUAUUAUCGAGUAUUAUGCAUAAUCACGUGUACAAUGAGGCUGAUUCCAUUACGUACUUACAGAAUGGUAUGAUUAAAUCUUUAUUCUUUACGGUUAACUUAUACUCUUGAGGUAUUCAAUCAGUAAAUGAAUUUAUAAUUCUUUUAGUUGUUCUUGAUCCAUUUUUGAUCACUCAACAUGAAAUCUGGA
This 3067-nucleotide long non-coding RNA is filed under the name Panax ginseng (ginseng). RNAcentral describes it as "long non-coding RNA (PGIN_LNC008057)". Lineage: Eukaryota; Viridiplantae; Streptophyta; Magnoliopsida; Apiales; Araliaceae. The record is from RNAcentral.